Olea europaea var. sylvestris is the source of this 431-nucleotide long non-coding RNA. RefSeq lists it as uncharacterized. The transcript is spliced from 2 exons. The record is from RefSeq and is a predicted model, not a curated record. NCBI's taxonomy places the organism in Eukaryota, Viridiplantae, Streptophyta, Magnoliopsida, Lamiales, Oleaceae.
AUUUCCUUUUUAACCAUGCAGGUUGUGGUGGAACUGGAAAUACUAUGUGUUCUGAAUGUGGAGGUCGUGGUCACAUUGGAGUAGCCUGACAUACAAGUUCCAGCAUCAUGUUAGAUGGGCGACCAGCAUCCGGAUGCUGGUUCUGGUGUUCUGAGUAAGCGACAUAAUAUGCUGAAACACUAGCUUGUACCCAUGCCAUGGCCACCCUACUCUGCAAUUCACACAAUUUUUAAAUCGGUUUCAGUUUUGGAGAAAAGAAAAACCCUGAGAUUGAAAGAUCCCCAUAAGAGUUGGAUACUUACCACAAGAUAUCCGGUUAAGAACGUAUACAUUGUCACUCCAGUUGCAUAGCUCCUAUGGAUCACAAAUGCCCAUAUGCCUCCUAUUAGUGCACAUACAGAUCCUGUUGCUACACCGGUUAGAAAGCAGAA